This 274-nucleotide ribosomal RNA is filed under the name uncultured bacterium. RNAcentral describes it as "partial 16S ribosomal RNA". It matches the Rfam family "Archaeal small subunit ribosomal RNA", at positions 473 to 747 of the family's 1478-position model. The record is from RNAcentral.
AAACCAGCACCUCAAGUGGUCAGGAGGAUUAUUGGGCCUAAAGCAUCCGUAGCCUGUUCUAUAAGUUUCCGGUUAAAUCCACUAGCUCAACUAGUGGGCUGCCGAAAAUACUGUAGAACUAGGGAGUGGGAGAGGUAGACGGUAUUCGGUAGGAAGGGGUAAAAUCCUUUGAUCUAUUGAGGACCACCUGUGGCGAAGGCGGUCUACCAGAACACGUUCGACGGUGAGGGAUGAAGGCUGGGGGAGCAAACCGGAUUAGAAACCCCAGUAGUCC